RNAcentral lists this ribosomal RNA (483 nucleotides) under Theileria sinensis. RNAcentral's name for it is "SSU rRNA". It matches the Rfam family "Eukaryotic small subunit ribosomal RNA", at positions 510 to 1030 of the family's 1831-position model. Lineage: Eukaryota; Apicomplexa; Aconoidasida; Piroplasmida; Theileriidae. The record is from RNAcentral.
UGGAAUGAUGGGAAUUUAAACCUCUUCCAGAGUAUCAAUUGGAGGGCAAGUCUGGUGCCAGCAGCCGCGGUAAUUCCAGCUCCAAUAGCGUAUAUUAAAAUUGUUGCAGUUAAAAAGCUCGUAGUUGAAUUUCUGCUGCAUCGUCGCAUCUCUUGCUGAGUGCUUCGUUUCGGCUUAUUUCGGAUUGAUUUUUUCUUUCCGGAUGAUUACUUUGAGAAAAUUAGAGUGCUCAAAGCAGGCUUUUGCCUUGAAUAGUUUAGCAUGGAAUAAUAAAGUAGGACUUUGGUUCUAUUUUGUUGGUUUUAGGUACCAAAGUAAUGGUUAAUAGGAACAGUUGGGGGCAUUCGUAUUUAACUGUCAGAGGUGAAAUUCUUAGAUUUGUUAAAGACGAACUACUGCGAAAGCAUUUGCCAAGGAUGUUUUCAUUAAUCAAGAACGAAAGUUAGGGGAUCGAAGACGAUCAGAUACCGUCGUAGUCCUACC